AGGAACCCCGAAAACCCCAAAUAUUGUUUUUUCAUUUUUCAUUUUUUUUUGGUCUAACUAACUCCAAAAGGUUGGAAAAGAGUUCCUACAAAGGUUUUGGACAGUGAUUUUAACCCUAACGCCAAAAAAACUUAAACCUUACCAUAGCCCCAAAACCUAAUACCCGGGUAUUACUUUCAGGGAGCCCGAAAACCCCCAAUAAUAUUUUUUUCUUUUUUCAUAAUUUUUGGUCUAACUAACUCCAAAAGGUUGGAAAAGAGUUCCUACAAAGGUUUUGGACAGUGAUUUUAACCCUAACGCCAAAAACCUUAAACCUUACCAUAGCCCCAUAACCUAAUACCCGGGUAUUACUUUCAGGAAGCCCGAACACCCCAAAUAUAUUUUUUUUUCAUUUUUCAUUUUUUUUUGGUCUAACUAACUCCAAAAGGUUGGAAAAGAGUUCCUACAAAGGUUUUGGACAGUGAUUUUAACCCUAACGCCAAAAAACUUAAACCUUACCAUAGCCCCAUAACCUAAUACCCGGGUAUUACUUUUAGGAAGCCUGAACACCCCAAAUAUUUUUUUUUCAUUUUUCUUUUUUUUUUGGUCUAACUAACUCCAAAAGGUUGGAAAAGAGUUCCUACAAAGGUUUUGGACAGUGAUUUUAACCCUAAUGCCAAAACCCUUAAACCUUUCCCUAGUCCCAAAACCUAAUACACGGGUAUUACUUUCAGGGAGCCCAAAAACCCCCAAUAAUAUUUUUUUCUUUUUCAUAUUUUUUGGUCUAACUAACUCCAAAAGGUUGGAAAAGAGUUCCUACAAAGGUUUUGGACAGUGAUUUUAACCCUAACGCCAAAAACUUAAACCUUACCCUAGCCCCAAAACCUAAUACCCGGGUAUUACUUUCAGGAGCCCGAAAACCCCCAAUAAUAUUUUUUUCUUUUUUCAUAUUUUUUGGUCUAACUAACUCCAAAAGGUUGGAAAAGAGUUCCUACAAAGGUUUUGGACAGUGAUUUUAACCCUAACGCCAAAAAACUUAAACCUUACCCUAGCCUUAAAAUCUAAUACCCGGGUAUUACUUCAGGAAGCCUGAACACCCCAAAUAUUUUUUUUUCAUUUUUCAUUUUUUUGGUCUAACUAACUCCAAAAGGUUGGAAAAGAGUUCCUACAAAGGUUUUGGACAGUGAUUUUAACCCUAACGCCAAAAAACUUAAACCUUACCAUAGCCCCAUAACCUAAUACCCGGGUAUUACUUUCAGGAAGCCCGAAAACCCCCAAUAAUAUUUUUUUCUUUUUCAUUUUUUUGGUGUAACUAACUCCAAAAGGUUGGAAAAGAGUUCCUACAAAGGUUUUGGACAGUGAUUUUAACCCUAAUGCCAAAAAACUUAAACCUUACCCUAGCCUUAAAAUCUAAUACCCGGGUAUUACAUUCAGGAACCCCGAAAACCCCAAAUAUUGUUUUUUCAUUUUUCAUUUUUUUUUGGUCUAACUAACUCCAAAAGGUUGGAAAAGAGUUCCUACAAAGGUUUUGGACAGUGAUUUUAACCCUAACGCCAAAAAACUUAAACCUUACCCUAGCCUUAAAAUCUAAUACCCGGGUAUUACAUUCAGGAACCCCGAAAACCCCAAAUAUUUUUUUUCAUUUUUCAUUUUUUUUUUGGUCUAACUAACUCCAAAAGGUUGGAAAAGAGUUCCUACAAAGGUUUUGGACAGUGAUUUUAACCCUAACGCCAAAAAACUUAAACCUUACCAUAGCCCCAAAACCUAAUACCUGGGUAUUACCUUCAGGAAGCCCGAAAACCCCAAAUAAUAUUUUUUUCUUUUUUCAUAUUUUUUGGUCUAACUAACUCCAAAAGGUUGGAAAAGAGUUCCUACAAAGGUUUUGGACAGUGAUUUUAACCCUAACGCCAAAAAACUUAAACCUUACCCUAGCCUUAAAAUCUAAUACCCGUAUAUUACAUUCAGGAACCCCGAAAACCCCAAAUAUAUAUUUUUUCAUUUUUCUUUUUUUUUUUGGUUUAACUAACUCCAAAAGGUUGGAAAAGAGUUCCUACAAAGGUUUUGGACAGUGAUUUUAACCCUAACGCCAAAAAACUUAAACCUUACCCUAGCCUUAAAAUCCUAAUACCCGGGUAUUAAAUUCAGGAAGCCCGAACACCCCAAAUAUUUUUUUGUUCAUUUUACAUUUUUGUUGGUGUAACCAACUCCAAAAGGUUGGAAAAGAGUUCCUACAAAGGUUUUGGACAGUGAUUUUAACCCUAACGCCAAAAAACUUAAACCUUACCCUAGCCCCAAAAUCUAAUACCCGGGUAUUACUUCAAGGAAGCCCGAAAACCCCAAAUAUUUUUUUUUCAUUUUUCAUUUUUUUUUUUGGUCUAACUAACUCCAAAAGGUUGGAAAAGAGUUCCUACAAAGGUUUUGGACAGUGAUUUUAACCCUAACGCCAAAAAACUUAAACCUUACCCUAGCCUUAAAAUCUAAUACCCGGGUAUUACAUUCAGGAAGCCCGAAAACCCCAAAUAUAUAUUUUUUCAUUUUUCAUAUUUUUUGGUCUAACUAACUCCAAAAGGUUGGAAAAGAGUUCCUACAAAGGUUUUGGACAGUGAUUUUAACCCUAACGCCAAAAAACUUAAACCUUACCCUAGCCACAAAAACUAAUACCCGGGUAUUACUUUUAGGAAGCCUGAACUCCCCAAAUAUUUUUUUUUUCAUUUUUCUUUUUUUUUUUUUGGUCUAACUAACUCCAAAAGGUUGGAAAAGAGUUCCUACAAAGGUUUUGGACAGUGAUUUUAACCCUAACGCCAAAAAACUUAAACCUUACCAUAGCCCCAAAACCUAAUACCUGGGUAUUACUUUUAGGAAGCCCGAACACCCCAAAUAUUUUUUUUUUUUUUUUUUUUUUUUUUGGUCUAACUAACUCCAAAAGGUUGGAAAAGAGUUCCUACAAAGGUUUUGGACAGUGAUUUUAACCCUAACGCCAAAAAACUUAAACCUUACCCUGGCCUUAAAAUCUAAUACCCGGGUAUUACUUUCAGGGAGCCCGAAAACCCC
Molecule: long non-coding RNA, 3030 nt
Filed under: Xyrichtys novacula (pearly razorfish)
Lineage: Eukaryota; Metazoa; Chordata; Actinopteri; Labriformes; Labridae
Source: RNAcentral